This 481-nucleotide ribosomal RNA is filed under the name uncultured bacterium. RNAcentral describes it as "SSU rRNA". It matches the Rfam family "Bacterial small subunit ribosomal RNA", at positions 26 to 518 of the family's 1533-position model. The record is from RNAcentral.
AGGACGAACGCUGGCGGCGUGCUUAACACAUGCAAGUCACGGGGGCCCGCAAGGGCAACCGGCGAACGGGUGCGUAACACGUGAGCAACCUGCCGAUCUGUGGGGGAUAGCCGGGCUAACGCCCGGGUAAUACCGCAUACGGUUGCCGAGGGGAGUCCCUUGGCAAAGAAACCUCCGGGGCAGAUCGAGGGGCUCGCGGCCUAUCAGCUAGUUGGGGGGGUAAUGGCCCACCAAGGCGACGACGGGUAGCUGGUCUGAGAGGAUGGCCAGCCACAUUGGGACUGAGAGACGGCCCAGACUCCUACGGGAGGCAGCAGUGGGGAAUCUUGCGCAAUGGCCGAAAGGCUGACGCAGCGACGCCGCGUGUGGGAGGACGCCUUUCGGGGUGUAAACCACUGUUGCCCGGGACGAAGUAUCCUGUUUUGACAGGAUUGACGGUACCGGGUGAGGAAGCACCGGCUAACUCCGCGCCAGCAGCCGC